Molecule: long non-coding RNA, 216 nt
Filed under: Lathyrus oleraceus (garden pea)
Lineage: Eukaryota; Viridiplantae; Streptophyta; Magnoliopsida; Fabales; Fabaceae
Description: Pisum sativum (pea) long non-coding RNA (PSAT_LNC039673)
Source: RNAcentral
CAUUUGAUUUUUGCUUGACUGAAAGGAAUGUUGAUCCUACGCCCCUAGUUAAGUCAACUUGUGUUGACUUUCUGGUGGGCUUAAGGACCUUUGGGCCUAUGCACUUCUCUUCUUACACCCUUUCUACUUCUUUUUGGGUUGCCUUGUUUUGUUUCUAUUUGGCUCAUUAUCUCUUUUACUUAUUCAUUUUUAUGAUAUUUAUUAUUAUUAUUUUUU